RNAcentral lists this ribosomal RNA (567 nucleotides) under uncultured archaeon. RNAcentral describes it as "bacterial SSU rRNA". It matches the Rfam family "Archaeal small subunit ribosomal RNA", at positions 312 to 879 of the family's 1478-position model. The record is from RNAcentral.
CGCGAAUCGCCCUUCGGGGCGCAGCAGGCGCGAAAACUUUACAAUGCGGGAAACCGUGAUAAGGGGACACCGAGUGCCAGCAUCAUAUGCUGGCUGUCCGGGUGUGUAAAAUACACCCGUUAGCAAGGGCCGGGCAAGACCGGUGCCAGCCGCCGCGGUAACACCGGCGGCCCGAGUGGUGAUCGUGAUUAUUGGGUCUAAAGGGUCCGUAGCCGGUUUGGUCAGUCCUCCGGGAAAUCUGACGGCUCAACCGUUAGGCUUUCGGGGGAUACUGCCAGGCUUGGAACCGGGAGAGGUAAGAGGUACUACAGGGGUAGGAGUGAAAUCUUGUAAUCCCUGUGAGACCACCUGUGGCGAAGGCGUCUUACCAGAACGGGUUCGACGGUGAGGGACGAAAGCUGGGGGCACGAACCGGAUUAGAUACCCGGGUAGUCCCAGCCGUAAACGAUGUUCGCUAGGUGUCAGGCAUGGCGCGACCGUGUCUGGUGCCGCAGGGAAGCCGUGAAGCGAGCCACCUGGGAAGUACGGCCGCAAGGCUGAAACUUAAAGGAAUUGGCGGGGGAGCAC